GAUGAACGCUGGCGGCGUGCCUAAUACAGGAAAGUCGAGCGAACAGACGAGGAGCUUGCUCCUCUGACGUUAGCGGCGGACGGGUGAGUAACACGUGGAUAAAUUACCUAUAAGACUGGGAUAACUUCGGGAAACCGGAGCUAAUACCGGAUAAUAUAUUGAACCGCAUGGUUCAAUAGUGAAAGACGGUUUUGCUGUCACUUAUAGAUGGAUCCGCGCCGCAUUAGCUAGUUGGUAAGGUAACGGCUUACCAAGGCAACGAUGCGUAGCCGACCUGAGAGGGUGAUCGGCCACACUGGAACUGAGACACGGUCCAGACUCCUACGGGAGGCAGCAGUAGGGAAUCUUCCGCAAUGGGCGAAAGCCUGACGGAGCAACGCCGCGUGAGUGAUGAAGGUCUUCGGAUCGUAAAACUCUGUUAUUAGGGAAGAACAAAUGUGUAAGUAACUAUGCACGUCUUGACGGUACCUAAUCAGAAAGCCCCGGCUAACUACGUC
RNAcentral lists this ribosomal RNA (497 nucleotides) under uncultured bacterium. RNAcentral's name for it is "partial 16S ribosomal RNA". It matches the Rfam family "Bacterial small subunit ribosomal RNA", at positions 28 to 507 of the family's 1533-position model. The record is from RNAcentral.